This 253-nucleotide ribosomal RNA is filed under the name uncultured bacterium. RNAcentral describes it as "partial 16S ribosomal RNA". It matches the Rfam family "Bacterial small subunit ribosomal RNA", at positions 524 to 776 of the family's 1533-position model. The record is from RNAcentral.
CACGAAGGGGGCUAGCGUUGUUCGGAAUUACUGGGCGUAAAGCGCACGUAGGCGGCCUAUUAAGUCAGGGGUGAAAUCCCGGGGCUCAACCCCGGAACUGCCUUUGAUACUGGUAGUCUCGAGUCCGGAAGAGGUGAGUGGAAUUCCGAGUGUAGAGGUGAAAUUCGUAGAUAUUCGGAGGAACACCAGUGGCGAAGGCGGCUCACUGGUCCGGUACUGACGCUGAGGUGCGAAAGCGUGGGGAGCAAACAGG